GCCGAAGUGGCGGAAUUGGUAGACGCGCAUGAUUCAGGGUCAUGUGACCGCAAGGUCGUGUGGGUUCAAGUCCCACCUUCGGCACCA
This 87-nucleotide transfer RNA is filed under the name Trueperaceae bacterium. RNAcentral's name for it is "tRNA-Leu". It matches the Rfam family "tRNA". Rfam says of the family: Transfer RNA (tRNA) molecules are approximately 80 nucleotides in length. Their secondary structure includes four short double-helical elements and three loops (D, anti-codon, and T loops). Lineage: Bacteria; Thermotogati; Deinococcota; Deinococci; Trueperales; Trueperaceae. The record is from RNAcentral. RNAcentral also lists the same sequence under 2 other names.